Molecule: small nuclear RNA, 149 nt
Filed under: Olea europaea subsp. europaea
Lineage: Eukaryota; Viridiplantae; Streptophyta; Magnoliopsida; Lamiales; Oleaceae
Rfam family: U4 spliceosomal RNA
About the family: U4 small nuclear RNA (U4 snRNA) is a component of the major U2-dependent spliceosome. The structure of U4 snRNA from yeast and human has been reported. U4 snRNA presents a k-turn RNA motif in the 5p-SL related to recognition of Snu13 protein.
Source: RNAcentral
AUCUUUGUGCUUGGAGCGAUGACGCAGCUAGUAAGGUUCUUAACUAGGCGCGUCUAUUGCUGGUUGAAAACUAUUUCCAUACCCAUUCUUGGCCCUACAGGUUCGCCCAGGGGGGAUGUCCAAAAGAUUUUGAUGGGAUACCUUUGGGA